AGCGAACGCUGGCGGCAGGCCUAACACAUGCAAGUCGAGCGGCCGUAGCAAUACGGCAGCGGCAGACGGGAUAGUAACACGUGGGAACGCGCCCUUCGGUUCGGAAUAACUCAGGGAAACUUGAGCUAAUACCGGAUACGCCUAACGGGAAAGAUUAUUGCCGAAGGAACGGCCCGCGUCCGAUUAGCUAGUUGGUGAGGUAAUGGCUCACCAAGGCGACGAUCGGUAGCUGGUCNGAGAGGAUGACCAGCAUCACUGGGACUGAGACACGGCCCAGACUCCUACGGGAGGCAGCAGUGGGGAAUCUUGCGCAAUGGACGAAAGUCUGACGCAGCCACGCCGCGUGAGUGAAGAAGGCCU
Molecule: ribosomal RNA, 360 nt
Filed under: uncultured bacterium
Lineage: Bacteria
Description: bacterial SSU rRNA
Rfam family: Bacterial small subunit ribosomal RNA
Source: RNAcentral